This 78-nucleotide microRNA precursor is filed under the name Branchiostoma floridae (Florida lancelet). Its description in RNAcentral is "mir-2060 microRNA precursor family". It matches the Rfam family "mir-2060 microRNA precursor family". The record is from Rfam by way of RNAcentral. Lineage: Eukaryota; Metazoa; Chordata; Leptocardii; Amphioxiformes; Branchiostomatidae.
AUUUGUGGAUGGUGUUCAGCACUAGGGACAGGUUUGUGUGUGGAUGGUGUUCAGCACCAGGGACAGGGUUGUGCGUGG